This 381-nucleotide ribosomal RNA is filed under the name Triticum aestivum (bread wheat). RNAcentral's name for it is "partial small subunit ribosomal RNA". Lineage: Eukaryota; Viridiplantae; Streptophyta; Magnoliopsida; Poales; Poaceae. The record is from RNAcentral.
AUGUUUAGCAUGGGCAGCCAGACUUCUGUUUGCUCCGCCAGACAAAACCUGGUAACAAUGGGUUGGAAAGUGGACAAACAGGAAAAGAGAACUGAGAAGAAGUGCCAAGUGGUCUGCUUGGAGUUAGGGGAAUUCAAAGUGCAUUUGUGGUUAUUGUUUCUGCAUUAUGCUUGUAUUCACAAAUUGUUCGGCAAAAAUGGAAGCAACUGUGUAAUGGUCAAAGCAUAUCAUCAAGGACAAAUAGCUAAUCAGAAUUACUUCUGUUUUUAUUUGCAUAUGAUGCCAAUAGCUUUACUUGAAACACAUCUUGAAGUUGAAGUGACAUCUUGUUGUUUUGGGGUAUUAUGUGACUAUUUUUUGUACAAUGUGAAAGAAACUUAA